AGCAUGGUGGUGGCAGCAUCAUGCUUUGGUCUUCAGAUGGAACUGGGGAACUUUGUCAAGAGGGAAUUAUGAACAGUUCCAAGUAGGAGUCAGUGUUCUAGCACACCGUCAGGCUUCUGCUAAAAAGAAAGAAAAACAUGUCAGGAAAAGCCUCCUCGAACAUCGUAACUUUAUUUGGCGUUAAACAUUUAAAAUGUGCGUUCUCGCAUUUAACAUAAUCGUGAAUGCUAUUGGUUAACUGUGAACACGUCCGCAUGUCCUGUUCGAUUGUGAACACACCCUCAACUCACAUGACGGGGGCAAAAACGCUGAUGCGUUAUGACAGACGAUGCUCGAUGGAUCUGCCGUGAUGACUCCGCAACGGACAUGAUUGGCUUGAGGCCGCACGCUGAUGGUGGAGCUGAAAAUAAAAUGCAUUUCCUGCUGACACGCUGCUUACACAGAGGAAAAGCGGACGUGGCUGAGGAUGGGGAAAGGGUGCGUGAAGUAGGACGCUAAAGCCACGACCCCAGUACGUACAUUGCGCCGGGGUGUUUUUUUUUAUUUUAAAAUUUUUAAAAAAAAAUUUAAAUCGCUUGACUGACUGGGAGCAUUUCCGGGGUGUGCAUUGUGCAAAACAACAUCGCUUUGGCUAAAUGUCAUCUACGAAGAGACCCUUACGAAGCACAGUUUAAACGUCAAGCUAUCAGUUACGCGGAGGAACAUGGGAAUCGAGCAGCUGCGAGAUCAGAUCAAGGUCGACGAAUCCAUGGUUCGCAAGUGGAGGAAGCAGGAAAACGAGCUUCGCCAAGUCAAGAAGACGAAGCUGAGAAAAGAAAACCAAAACGCGCAAACGAGGCGAGGUGGCCCGAGUUGGAAGACCAACUCGAGCAAUGGAUUAAAUGAGCAAAGAACAGCCGGGAGAAGCGUCUCUACAGUCGCCAUUCCACUGAGUGCAAUAACUCGGAACUCGCCAUCAUUCCGGGAGGCUUGACGAACCGCUGGACAUCCGUGUAAACAGGGCGUUCAAAGUGAAGUCGCGAGCGGCGUGGGAGCCAUGGAAGACAGAUGGCGAACACAGCUUUACUAAGACAGGGAGGCAACGCCGGGCGAGUUACGCCACCAUACGUGAGUGGAUUGUGGAUGCUUGGGCUAACGUAUCUGCUUUUGAAGCACAUACGAGCUUUCGUGAAAGCAGGCAUCAUUGCUGAACGGCCCACCCGGCAACGAGACUAACUCCGACAAUGACGAGGGGGAACCCGGCGUGUUUGUUGGAGAACUUGCCCAGCUGUUCACUUCGGAUACAGAAGAUGAGGACUUUGAUGGAUUUGUGGAUGAGGAUUGAUCAAAACAUAACGAAUGACUAUUUUAGACAUGGCGACCUCGGCGCAAGGCUCACAUUUCACGCCAAUUUCAAUGUUGAAAAGCCUCCAACGUCUCAGUCAAAGGUCUGAACACGCCGUGGGCAAAGAGCCACGCCUCCUGCAACUGUCGAUUAUUAUCGCGUGUGGGGGUGUCACGUGUGUCACCAUCCUGUCAGCUGGUCAUAACGUAGGAAACAAGUUGUGCGUCAUUGCUCGAACCGCAUGCCUUUCGAAGCAGGUCACUCAUCUGCAUAACACCCAAAAGGUGGACUCUCUGCCAAUUAUAAGGACAAUGAAGACAGUGUGCAAAAGUACUGAGUGAAAAGCUACAGAUGCUCCAUCACACGCUUGCCUAACUCAGCCGCCCAAAUAUAUGAGCUGUCACUGUCACCAUGAGCCCCUCUUGAGUCUGCGGGACGUGUGUUUGUGCGUGUUUCUGCUCGUGUAUCAACGCCCACCACUUGGAAAAGUUGGAACUUUGCGGUAAAUUUUGUAAUUUGGGCCACAACAUGGUGACCGCUUGUAUAGUCUAAUGUGAUGCAAUGCUAGAGCUGUUGCAUUGCGUUUACAAAGGUGAAAAAUGUGUUAUUUGCGUGUAUGUACAGUAUACACACUACAUAUUAACAACUGUCUUGUGUGUGUGUGGAUGUAAAUAUCCUGCCAGUAAAAGUCGCCAAUAAAGGAGGUAGGUUUUGCUUAACUACGUGUGGUUGCUGGGCUAAUUUUGACUGGUUUCCUUGACAACCAAAUGUGACACCACAGCCAUUUCCUUAUCUGCAUUGUUGGUGAUUAAGCCACAGUCUUGUUAGUGUGAUUUAUGAGGAACGAGAGGAAAAAAGGGGCCUCAUUUAGCUCCGUUUGACUGUAGUCAGGGAAAGUACAGAUUUAAAUGUUUUUUUGACCUUCACUUUAUCUGCUCUCGGGUUCAUUCUGCAACCAGUCACUUGUUUCAACCACAUGCCUGUUGUUGAUUUGAAUGUAUUUAAUCUGAGUGUGUGUUUACGUGUGGAGAUGAAGUCAUUUUGACAGCGUGAGUAAAGCCAGAUGUGCUGAAGAAGGACAAUGUGCUGAAUAUAGACACACUGGACUGAACGAACCCCCUUUCGGGUUGUGCCCCAACUAUAUAUUACUAUAAAAUGGAUGAACUAUACUUUCUAUGAGCAAUUUCAAAGAUAAGAUCCGACACAAAGGGUGUGGGGAAUCAUAAUUCAAAUUGGAGAUUUACAUUAAAACAGAUUAGACGUUUUGCUGAGCUAAAGGAAAACACACAACUAAAUUAGAACAAUGUGUGUGGACCUUUCAUGUGAUAUGAUUGAAAAUCAACAGGGUUGCUUUACUACACU
Long non-coding RNA from Phyllopteryx taeniolatus (common seadragon), 2686 nucleotides. RefSeq lists it as uncharacterized. The transcript has 5 exons. Lineage: Eukaryota; Metazoa; Chordata; Actinopteri; Syngnathiformes; Syngnathidae. The record is from RefSeq and is a predicted model, not a curated record.